Molecule: transfer RNA, 71 nt
Filed under: Amphiuma means (two-toed amphiuma)
Lineage: Eukaryota; Metazoa; Chordata; Amphibia; Caudata; Amphiumidae
Description: tRNA-Pro
Rfam family: tRNA
About the family: Transfer RNA (tRNA) molecules are approximately 80 nucleotides in length. Their secondary structure includes four short double-helical elements and three loops (D, anti-codon, and T loops).
Source: RNAcentral
CAAGCAGUAGUUUAGAUGUAGAAUUUUGGCUUUGGGUGCCAAUGGUGGGAGUUAAAAUCUCCUCUGCUUGA